UACGAAGGGGGCUAGCGUUGUCCGGAAUUAUUGGGCGUAAAGAGCUCGUAGGCGGUCUGUCGCGUCGGAUGUGAAAAUCCAGGGCUCAACCCUGGACCUGCAUUCGAUACGGGCAGACUAGAGUUCGGCAGGGGAGACUGGAAUUCCUGGUGUAGCGGUGAAAUGCGCAGAUAUCAGGAGGAACACCGGUGGCGAAGGCGGGUCUCUGGGCCGAUACUGACGCUGAGGAGCGAAAGCGUGGGGAGCAAACAGG
This 253-nucleotide ribosomal RNA is filed under the name uncultured bacterium. RNAcentral's name for it is "partial 16S ribosomal RNA". It matches the Rfam family "Bacterial small subunit ribosomal RNA", at positions 524 to 776 of the family's 1533-position model. The record is from RNAcentral.